Molecule: long non-coding RNA, 300 nt
Filed under: Malus domestica (apple)
Lineage: Eukaryota; Viridiplantae; Streptophyta; Magnoliopsida; Rosales; Rosaceae
Description: long non-coding RNA (MDOM_LNC001994)
Source: RNAcentral
AAAGUUUUGUCCCAUUACUUGAUCUCUGAAUGUUUGUUUUUUGCAAUUUUUGGCGUAUGCGAUCUCGAAGUAUAUACAAACAUGUUUGACGGUCGGAUCAUUGAAACUAGUUUCGUAGAAUGCGUGUAUCUCAUCAAAACAAUAGAUUCACUAACACUUAAAAGUUUAUUCAUACUUUCAUUAAGUAUAACAUAAGAUUUUUUUGUAUCCACUAGUGUAAAUAUUUUAAAUUGAAGAUCGAAUUCAAUCAUUGUAUUCAUAUAGGGUCAAGGAGUGUAGCUACAAAAAAUCAUCAAAAUC